RNAcentral lists this unclassified non-coding RNA (853 nucleotides) under Hevea brasiliensis (rubber tree). Lineage: Eukaryota; Viridiplantae; Streptophyta; Magnoliopsida; Malpighiales; Euphorbiaceae. The record is from RNAcentral.
AAUUUAUUCACUCAUGUUUCUAUUUACAAUGUUAGUCAUAAAUGAUACUACAACUCCCAAAAAUUGAAUUCAUAGGCAAUUAAUGAGUAACCGACUAACAGGUAGAUACCUGAGCAUUGUCCAAGUAAUGAUACUCUUCCAGUGUAUUCCUAGUUACUUGGAUCAAUCACUUGAGAAUAAGGAUCCUGAUAUACUCGCCAACAUCUCAGUCCUAGCAUCCCUAAAACUCCUAAGCAAUUUCGAGUCUAGGUCUUAUCAUGAUACUAACUCCUAAUUCUAAUAAAAAUCUAAACCAAAGCCUAUAAGAGUCAUUAGUGCACGUAUCUAACCCAGUUAAUCCCAUUUAUCCAUUGAUGAGUUCCUAAUAUUGACUUAAGCAUUGGAGUGUUGCCAACCAACCCACCUAGUGUUUUCUUGUAUUGCAGAUCCAAGAUCCAUGAUCCAAACCCACAGAAGAGGAGAAUAGCAUAACUGGUGUCGUCUAUGAGAGAGUUGCCUCAAAAUUUUCCUAUUUGAUGAACAAAUCUUAUGAUUGCUAUUUUUCACCAUUAUUUUCACCAUGGCUUCAGGUCCACCACUAGUUGAUGGAACCACUAAUGACGUCACUAUUGCAAAUAACACACUAACACAACCCAUGUAGCCAUGAAUUUGAAAGAUUGUCAGAAGAAGAUUAUUAUAACUCUUUCCACUAACCGUCUUAGAAUGGACUUUAAUUUAUACCGAAGAUUAAAGUUGUCGAGGAAGCCCCAUCGAGUUUAAUGAUUGCUACACUUGUGUCGACGACAGAGUCGGAGUUGACUGCAACUUUUGAGCAUAAGAUUUUAACCCUUUAGUUUUGCAAUUUCAAUAAAAA